Molecule: ribosomal RNA, 2923 nt
Filed under: Klebsiella pneumoniae
Lineage: Bacteria; Pseudomonadati; Pseudomonadota; Gammaproteobacteria; Enterobacterales; Enterobacteriaceae
Description: 23S ribosomal RNA
Rfam family: Bacterial large subunit ribosomal RNA
Source: RNAcentral
GGGUUGUGAGGUUAAGCGACUAAGCGUACACGGUGGAUGCCCUGGCAGUCAGAGGCGAUGAAGGACGUGCUAAUCUGCGAAAAGCGUCGGUAAGGUGAUAUGAACCGUUAUAGCCGGCGAUGUCCGAAUGGGGAAACCCAGUGCAAUUCGUUGCACUAUCGUUAACUGAAUACAUAGGUUAACGAGGCGAACCGGGGGAACUGAAACAUCUAAGUACCCCGAGGAAAAGAAAUCAACCGAGAUUCCCCCAGUAGCGGCGAGCGAACGGGGAGCAGCCCAGAGUCUGAAUCAGCUUGUGUGUUAGUGGAACGGUCUGGAAAGUCCGACGGUACAGGGUGAUAGUCCCGUACACCAAAAUGCACAGGUUGUGAACUCGAAGAGUAGGGCGGGACACGUGGUAUCCUGUCUGAAUAUGGGGGGACCAUCCUCCAAGGCUAAAUACUCCUGACUGACCGAUAGUGAACCAGUACCGUGAGGGAAAGGCGAAAAGAACCCCGGCGAGGGGAGUGAAAAAGAACCUGAAACCGUGUACGUACAAGCAGUGGGAGCACCUUCGGGUGUGACUGCGUACCUUUUGUAUAAUGGGUCAGCGACUUAUAUUCUGUAGCAAGGUUAACCGUAUAGGGGAGCCGCAGGGAAACCGAGUCUUAACUGGGCGUUAAGUUGCAGGGUAUAGACCCGAAACCCGGUGAUCUAGCCAUGGGCAGGUUGAAGGUUGGGUAACACUAACUGGAGGACCGAACCGACUAAUGUUGAAAAAUUAGCGGAUGACUUGUGGCUGGGGGUGAAAGGCCAAUCAAACCGGGAGAUAGCUGGUUCUCCCCGAAAGCUAUUUAGGUAGCGCCUCGUGAACUCAUCUUCGGGGGUAGAGCACUGUUUCGGCUAGGGGGUCAUCCCGACUUACCAACCCGAUGCAAACUACGAAUACCGAAGAAUGUUAUCACGGGAGACACACGGCGGGUGCUAACGUCCGUCGUGAAGAGGGAAACAACCCAGACCGCCAGCUAAGGUCCCAAAGUCAUGGUUAAGUGGGAAACGAUGUGGGAAGGCACAGACAGCCAGGAUGUUGGCUUAGAAGCAGCCAUCAUUUAAAGAAAGCGUAAUAGCUCACUGGUCGAGUCGGCCUGCGCGGAAGAUGUAACGGGGCUAAACCAUGCACCGAAGCUGCGGCAGCGACACUAUGUGUUGUUGGGUAGGGGAGCGUUCUGUAAGCCUGCGAAGGUGACCUGUGAGGGUUGCUGGAGGUAUCAGAAGUGCGAAUGCUGACAUAAGUAACGAUAAAGCGGGUGAAAAGCCCGCUCGCCGGAAGACCAAGGGUUCCUGUCCAACGUUAAUCGGGGCAGGGUGAGUCGACCCCUAAGGCGAGGCCGAAAGGCGUAGUCGAUGGGAAACAGGUUAAUAUUCCUGUACUUGGUGUUACUGCGAAGGGGGGACGGAGAAGGCUAUGUUAGCCGGGCGACGGUUGUCCCGGUUUAAGCAUGUAGGCUGAUUGUCCAGGCAAAUCCGGAUAAUCAAGGCUGAGGUGUGAUGACGAGGCACUACGGUGCUGAAGUAACAAAUGCCCUGCUUCCAGGAAAAGCCUCUAAGCAUCAGGUAACAUCAAAUCGUACCCCAAACCGACACAGGUGGUCAGGUAGAGAAUACCAAGGCGCUUGAGAGAACUCGGGUGAAGGAACUAGGCAAAAUGGUGCCGUAACUUCGGGAGAAGGCACGCUGGUGUGUAGGUGAAGUCCCUGCGGAUGGAGCUGAGACCAGUCGAAGAUACCAGCUGGCUGCAACUGUUUAUUAAAAACACAGCACUGUGCAAACACGAAAGUGGACGUAUACGGUGUGACGCCUGCCCGGUGCCGGAAGGUUAAUUGAUGGGGUUAUCCGUAAGGAGAAGCUCUUGAUCGAAGCCCCGGUAAACGGCGGCCGUAACUAUAACGGUCCUAAGGUAGCGAAAUUCCUUGUCGGGUAAGUUCCGACCUGCACGAAUGGCGUAAUGAUGGCCAGGCUGUCUCCACCCGAGACUCAGUGAAAUUGAACUCGCUGUGAAGAUGCAGUGUACCCGCGGCAAGACGGAAAGACCCCGUGAACCUUUACUAUAGCUUGACACUGAACAUUGAGCCUUGAUGUGUAGGAUAGGUGGGAGGCUUUGAAGCGUGGACGCCAGUCUGCGUGGAGCCAACCUUGAAAUACCACCCUUUAAUGUUUGAUGUUCUAACGUUGGCCCCUUACCGGGGUUGCGGACAGUGUCUGGUGGGUAGUUUGACUGGGGCGGUCUCCUCCCAAAGCGUAACGGAGGAGCACGAAGGUUAGCUAAUCCUGGUCGGACAUCAGGAGGUUAGUGCAAUGGCAUAAGCUAGCUUGACUGCGAGCGUGACGGCGCGAGCAGGUGCGAAAGCAGGUCAUAGUGAUCCGGUGGUUCUGAAUGGAAGGGCCAUCGCUCAACGGAUAAAAGGUACUCCGGGGAUAACAGGCUGAUACCGCCCAAGAGUUCAUAUCGACGGCGGUGUUUGGCACCUCGAUGUCGGCUCAUCACAUCCUGGGGCUGAAGUAGGUCCCAAGGGUAUGGCUGUUCGCCAUUUAAAGUGGUACGCGAGCUGGGUUUAGAACGUCGUGAGACAGUUCGGUCCCUAUCUGCCGUGGGCGCUGGAGAAUUGAGGGGGGCUGCUCCUAGUACGAGAGGACCGGAGUGGACGCAUCACUGGUGUUCGGGUUGUCAUGCCAAUGGCACUGCCCGGUAGCUAAAUGCGGAAGAGAUAAGUGCUGAAAGCAUCUAAGCACGAAACUUGCCCCGAGAUGAGUUCUCCCUGAGACUUUAAGUCUCCUGAAGGAACGUUAAAGACGAUGACGUUGAUAGGCCGGGUGUGUAAGCGCAGCGAUGCGUUGAGCUAACCGGUACUAAUGAACCGUGAGGCUUAACCUUACAACGCCGAAG